AAAAAACAACAUCAAUUUCCUCAUUCCAUUACCAACAAAGAGGUCACAGAGUGAAUUUCUCAUUUCUAUUUCGACUGAGAGAUGAAAUACAAAAGGUUCCGCACCAAGAGUUGCAUAGUACAAUUAAUACGCAAAACAGAGAAAUGUAUAUUGAAAUGUUUGUAGUAGAUAAUAGAAUUAAAUAUUAAUGAGGACUGCUAAGAAAAUCCACAAACAUUCGAUUUACUGAGGGCAACCGCAUCUGCUGAUCCUGGGUUCUACUCCUUUUGAACCGAGACACUGAUGAUGAAGAGACUGUUGAGCUACCACAGCUUAAGUAUGCAUCAAUGACUCCAUUU
Molecule: unclassified non-coding RNA, 338 nt
Filed under: Hevea brasiliensis (rubber tree)
Lineage: Eukaryota; Viridiplantae; Streptophyta; Magnoliopsida; Malpighiales; Euphorbiaceae
Source: RNAcentral